RNAcentral lists this ribosomal RNA (497 nucleotides) under uncultured bacterium. RNAcentral describes it as "partial 16S ribosomal RNA". It matches the Rfam family "Bacterial small subunit ribosomal RNA", at positions 28 to 507 of the family's 1533-position model. The record is from RNAcentral.
GAUGAACGCUGGCGGCGUGCCUAAUACAUGCAAGUCGAGCGAACGGACGAGAAGCUUGCGUCUCUGAUGUUAGCGGCGGACGGGUGAGUAACACGUGGAUAACCUACCUAUAAGACUGGGAUAACUUCGGGAAACCGUAGCUAAUACCGGCUAAUAUUUUGAACCGCAUGGUUCAAAAGUGAAAGACGGUCUUGCUGUCACUUAUAGAUGGAUCCGCGCUGCAUUAGCUAGUUGGUAAGGUAACGGCUUACCAAGGCAACGAUGCAUAGCCGACCUGAGAGGGUGAUCGGCCACACUGGAACUGAGACACGGUCCAGACUCCUACGGGAGGCAGCAGUAGGGAAUCUUCCGCAAUGGGCGAAAGCCUGACGCAGCAACGCCGCGUGAGUGAUGAAGGUCUUCGGAUCGUAAAACUCUGUUAUUAGGGAAGAACAUAUGUGUAAGUAACUGUGCACAUCUUGACGGUACCUAAUCAGAAAGCCACGGCUAACUACGUG